Molecule: long non-coding RNA, 748 nt
Filed under: Bos taurus (domestic cattle)
Lineage: Eukaryota; Metazoa; Chordata; Mammalia; Artiodactyla; Bovidae
Description: long non-coding RNA NONBTAT000212
Source: RNAcentral
AACAUAUUUACUUAAAUUACAAUUUCAUGUUAGAGAGCAGAUGAAAUCUUUGAUCAUACCUUCCCCACAAAGUUACUGUAAAGCCAAAAAAAAAGGAAAGAAAAGAGUUCCUACUUUGCUUCUUUGGUGAAGAGUGCAACUUCUUUUACUAAGGAGAAACAUUAUUCAUAGGAUAAAUUUAUCAUGAAUACAUAUCUAAACACACUGAGGGUUUUACAUGUGGUAGUAAUUAAACAGUGACUUCAAGUAGGAAAAUAAAAGUUUUUCUUAGCAAUAAAAGCUUCCAUUUGAAAUGAACGUUAUAUUAGCUUCAAGGGGAAAUUCAGACUGUUUUUAACCACAGUCACAUUGGAUAGCAAAACAUAUUAGUAGGUGAGCAUGUAGAAGUUCAAAAUGACAUUCUCCUGAUUUAUAGAUAUAUUUAUCCACUUCAACAUUAUAUUUAAUAAAAGAACUACAUAGGCUAUGGCUGACUUUUAUCAUUGCAAUGUUUUUACUGCAUUCCUAACUGAGAAGAGUUCAGUAUCAUUACUGAGAUAUGCAAAAAUAUGCAGAAUUUUACCCUGAAGGAGAUUAUGCUAGAAAUUCAGGCAAAGGGGCUUAACAUAAUAUUGCACUAUUAAGUUAGCUCUCUGCAUUCAACGAUUUAAACUUUUGCUCUGCCACCUUCAGCUGGAUCUGGAUUUCAAAUCACAGGAGUUCUUAAAUCUUAAUUAGCUCGGCAAGCAGACAGCCCUCAGGUAAAAAA